Molecule: ribosomal RNA, 492 nt
Filed under: uncultured bacterium
Lineage: Bacteria
Description: partial 16S ribosomal RNA
Rfam family: Bacterial small subunit ribosomal RNA
Source: RNAcentral
AGUGAACGCUGGCGGUAGGCCUAACACAUGCAAGUCGAACGGCAGCACAGUAAGAGCUUGCUCUUACGGGUGGCGAGUGGCGGACGGGUGAGGAAUACAUCGGAAUCUACUUUUUCGUGGGGGAUAACGUAGGGAAACUUACGCUAAUACCGCAUACGACCUACGGGUGAAAGCAGGGGAUCUUCGGACCUUGCGCGAUUGAAUGAGCCGAUGUCGGAUUAGCUAGUUGGCGGGGUAAAGGCCCACCAAGGCGACGAUCCGUAGCUGGUCUGAGAGGAUGAUCAGCCACACUGGAACUGAGACACGGUCCAGACUCCUACGGGAGGCAGCAGUGGGGAAUAUGGGACAAUGGGCGCAAUCCUGAUCCAGCCAUACCGCGUGGGUGAAGAAGGCCUUCGGGUUGUAAAGCCCUUUUGUUGGGAAAGAAAAGCAGCAGGUUAAUACCCCGCUGUUCUGACGGUACCCAAAGAAUAAGCACCGGCUAACUUCGUG